CAACGGCCGGCCUCUCUGCCAGAUGUGCCGCCGCCGCCAUGCACGAGCGAGAGAGACGGGUGAUGGGAGAGUGAGGAUUUCACGUGUUCGGGAAAGGGGGGCCCAAGAAAAUGUUUCGCGAGUGCGUGCGGGGUGGUUGUCGCGAUCCGCCACUUUUUCGCGGCUGCCCACAGCCCCAUUUUACGGGAAUAUUCGAACCCAUCUCGUUGCCUCUAUCCGUCUUUGCCUCAGAUCCAAACAAGUGACAACCAC
This 252-nucleotide long non-coding RNA is filed under the name Hordeum vulgare. RNAcentral's name for it is "long non-coding RNA (HVUL_LNC021102)". Lineage: Eukaryota; Viridiplantae; Streptophyta; Magnoliopsida; Poales; Poaceae. The record is from RNAcentral.